UAUAAGGCUUAUUAGAGUUUAACAUCUAAUAAAUAUUUCAAUUCUUUGAUCGAGUAUAAAGAAGUACGUACUUGGACUACCUAUUAUAAGAAUAGGUAUAUUCAAUAUCACGACCUCAUGAAAACACUACAGGAAUAUAACACCGAGCACAAACUUGGGAUUCGAGUUUCAAAUUUAAACUUCGAACAAUGAAUGAAUUCCUUAUCCUGUUGGCUGAAGAAAAAUGGCUCCAUUGUUUUCAAACGAAACCUGUUCGACCUACGAACUCUCGUACAGUGCAAGCAACGAUUGCCAGACGCGCUAAUCAAUAAUUGGAUUACAUGACGUUCAUUUUCUCAAGGUACAUGUUGACAAAAAGACAUCUUUGUCUUACCAAAGUACCUCGUAGUUCUGGAUUUGAUAUUGUAUGUUAUAGAAUUAGGUACUUAGUAAAAUUUUGCACCAGAUACGGAACGAAAUAAUUUAUUAAAAAUUUAAAGUCUUAAACCUUUUUCGUUUCAUGCUACCUCAGUAUGUAACGAAUGUACUUGAAUAAUUUUAUUAAUUUAUUAAAAAUGUAUACACGACAGUCCGGAAAUGUUUAUCUAAUAAAUAAUAAAGGAUAUA
Bombyx mori (domestic silkworm) is the source of this 606-nucleotide long non-coding RNA. RefSeq lists it as uncharacterized. Lineage: Eukaryota; Metazoa; Arthropoda; Insecta; Lepidoptera; Bombycidae. The record is from RefSeq and is a predicted model, not a curated record. The transcript is spliced from 2 exons.